AGGGAAUCUUCCACAAUGGACGAAAGUCUGAUGGAGCAACGCCGCGUGAGUGAUGAAGGAUUUCGGUUCGUAAAACUCUGUUGCAAGGGAAGAACAAGUAGCGUAGUAACUGGCGCUACCUUGACGGUACCUCGUUAGAAAGCCACGGCUAACUACGUGCCAGCAGCCGCGGUAAUACGUAGGUGGCAAGCGUUGUCCGGAAUUAUUGGGCGUAAAGCGCGCGCAGGUGGUUUCUUAAGUCUGAUGUGAAAGCCCCCGGCUCAACCGGGGAGGGUCAUUGGAAACUGGGAAACUUGAGUGCAGAAGAGGAUAGUGGAAUUCCAAGUGUAGCGGUGAAAUGCGUAGAGAUUUGGAGGAACACCAGUGGCGAAGGCGACUGUCUGGUCUGUAACUGACACUGAGGCGCGAAAGCGUGGGGAGCAAAC
This 425-nucleotide ribosomal RNA is filed under the name uncultured bacterium. RNAcentral's name for it is "bacterial SSU rRNA". It matches the Rfam family "Bacterial small subunit ribosomal RNA", at positions 356 to 773 of the family's 1533-position model. The record is from RNAcentral.